CCAUUUUUAAUAAAACUUUUCAGACCCUCUUUGUCUUGGUUAUAUGAAACUCACCAUGCUAAAAGCAUGAAAAACUUGUGUAUAGAAAGUUUACUUAUUAAAUGAAUUACAAAUCAAUAAUCAAAACUAUAAAGUGAUGAUCAUUUUCAUUGGUGUUUUUUAAUAUUUAAAUAUACAAAGUCACAUGGUACAAAUAAACAAACAUUAAAAGCACAUGUAUGUUGUUUU
Molecule: long non-coding RNA, 228 nt
Filed under: Mytilus galloprovincialis (Mediterranean mussel)
Lineage: Eukaryota; Metazoa; Mollusca; Bivalvia; Mytilida; Mytilidae
Source: RNAcentral